Gambusia affinis (western mosquitofish) is the source of this 1849-nucleotide long non-coding RNA. RefSeq lists it as uncharacterized. The record is from RefSeq and is a predicted model, not a curated record. The transcript has 3 exons. Lineage: Eukaryota; Metazoa; Chordata; Actinopteri; Cyprinodontiformes; Poeciliidae.
CUACCGCCGAUUUUUUCCGUGAACUUUAUUCGUGCAUCUCAGGAACAACCAAAUAUGCAAUCAGAAUAUCUUUGUAAGUUUUCCCAACGUGGAUGAUUCAACACCCUCUAAAAGGCGAAGCGAUAUCAUUAAUUCAUAUGGAAAUCCUAAUGCCGCAUUUACCGUUUAAUGGGCUGUGAAAGAAGAAGGGAGGGGAAAAUCAGACUCUUUUUGACGCAGGAAAAUCCCUGAGUCAACAAAGACGGAUAGCUAAAAGUGAUGGCAAGACAAGUCAGCUACACUGAAAGAUGGAUGAAAGAAAAUGUCACUAAACCCAGAAGAAGCAACCAAAGCAGAGAUUUCAAGGAGCACUUUUAAAGUCAGAAAAGGUCUUUGCAGCAUAAAGCCCUGGAUGUCAAACUCUGAAGAAGAAAUCAUUGCCGGCUGCGAGAUGAGCCUCCUCUACUGUCUCCCAGGUGGCCGAUCAACGUCUGAUAGGUUCAUGUGAUGAGAAGACAAACAGAUCACCUGAGUGGGGGUAAUUAGAAAUCCGGCAGGGAACUCGCAGCGUGGCGCUGACAAACUCCACUGAUCGGACAAGACAGUGCACGGGGUUACUUGGAGUGAAGAAGGGGCUGACGGCGGGGAGUAGCGGGAAGAUGAAAAGAUUCUGCCGAUUUCAAGUGACUGAUUGAGGUCAGAGGUGGGCCGGAUGCUGGGGACUUGUGACAGUGUGCUUCAGAGGUGGUGCAACACCUUCUUUGUGAAGGAAAUAGCUCUGCGCUUAUUCUGAAAUAGAGCAGGACCGCCUCCGGAGGGCUCUACGUUACGUCAGCGACAGAAGGAACGCUCUCUGUGUUUCGGAGAAGCAGACUUCAUUUGGUUAAAUUAUCAUAGUGGCUGUCUAAAAGAGGGCUGAGCUUUCUCCUUUAAAGCUCUUUACUGCGACAUCCUUAGCAAAACUUUUAAUCAGUUGUAGAUCUAUUUGUGUUUUUUGGUUUCUCAUCUCCAUUACCAUAAAGCCUAGUGUUUUAAAACAACCAGUUAAUUUUUGUUUUAAAGAUCAGUCAAAGAGAAAUUGACUGAUGACUGAAAUUCACUGGUACAGGCUGGACAAAACGUCAAAGAUCUUUCACCCACGUUUCCUUUGUUAGUGCUUCCUGGUCGCACUGACAAAUAAACAACCUGCGGUGUGGAAGUUGUCGCUAAGAGAAGAAGGCUCAUGUGUCAGUGUCUCAGCCUUUGAUCAUAAAUGCGUCCUGUAAGCAAAUUAGCUGCAGUUUUCUGGCUGUAGCACAAAGAGAAACCUCAACAGGUGACAGCAAGUUCACAAAGGGGCAAACUAAUUAAUAUGUUUGCUCUGUUGUCUAUGAAGACCAAGCUUUAUAAGAAUAAUUUAUGAGCAGUGUGCUGAAAGCUACCUAAUGUCAAUGAAAGAGGAUGAUGCGAACGCAGUUAGGGAGACUCUGAAGAGCUGAGCAUGUCCUGAUUGAAGAGGCUCAGAGGUAAUCUCUUCCUCCAUACGGGAGAUGUGUGUAAUGUAAAGCAUGACACUGUCAGGGUGUUCAUAAUCAUCUUAAGGUUUUCGUUUUUCUUCUUUUAUCAAUCCCUGAGGUUUAACAGUAGAGUGGCUGGAACACUUCUGAACUGAUUUACAUUCAAACUAAUUCUCUGAAGAACUUUUGCUCACCUUUUUAUAUUUUUUUUUUAUACGUCAUAAUUGCACUUUUAAGUCUCAAACUGAGCAGAGGAGCAGAGUUGUUUCCACUGUAUCCGUCUUGCUCAGCCCCUGCUCCUCAGUCUCACUCUUUAAAUUUGAUGAAUUUCCCUUCCAUCCUGCUGAGUGCUGCUUCGUACUGCAGCCCCAGGC